This 1550-nucleotide small RNA is filed under the name Pongo abelii (Sumatran orangutan). RNAcentral's name for it is "retained intron". The record is from RNAcentral. Lineage: Eukaryota; Metazoa; Chordata; Mammalia; Primates; Hominidae.
GGAGACGGCUGCAUCAGUUCACGUUAAGGAGGAUCUCUGGAGUGCCAGGCCUGGGGAACCGAGAGGCCCGCGCCUUGGGAAAUGGAGUCCAAGCGGGCAUCUCUCCUGCCUUCAGGUGGAGCUGGAGGAGACAGUGUUGCGGCGCCAGGCUGCGGUGCGGACGCUGGGCCAGCAAGCCAGGGUUUGGUUGGUGCGGGUGCUGCUCAACCUGCUGGUGGUCGCGCUCCUGGGGGCAGCCUUCUAUGGCGUCUACUGGGCUACGGGGUGCACCGUGGAGCUGCAGGAGAUGUCCCUUGUCCAGGAGUUGCCACUGCUGAAGCUUGGGGUGAAUUACCUUCCGUCCAUCUUCAUCGCUGGGGUCAACUUUGUGUUGCCGCCCGUGUUCAAGCUCAUUGCUCCACUGGAGGGCUACACUCGGAGUCGCCAGAUCGUUUUUAUCCUGCUCAGGUUCCAGCCUCAUGGGCAUGGCUGGGAAUGAUGAAGGGUGGGGGCGGUCAGAGGGAUGUUGGCACUGACAGGACCGUGUUUCUCCGCCUGGCCUCCCUGGUGGUCCUGCUCUUCUCUCUCUGGAAUCAGAUCACUUGUGGGGGCGACUCCGAGGCUGAGAACUGCAAAACCUGUGGCUACAAUUACAAAGAACUUCCGUGCUGGGAGACUGUCCUGGGCCAGGAAAUGUACAAACUUCUGCUCUUUGAUCUGCUGACUGUCUUGGCAGUCGCGCUGCUCAUCCAGUUUCCUAGAAAGCUCCUCUGUGGCCUCUGUCCUGGGGCGCUGGGUCGUCUGGCGGGGACCCAGGAGUUCCAGGUGCCCGACGAGGUGCUGGGGCUCAUCUACGCGCAGACGGUGGUCUGGGUGGGGAGUUUUUUCUGCCCUUUACUGCCCCUGCUUAACACGGUCAAGUUCGUGCUGCUUUUCUACCUGAAGAAGCUUACCCUCUUCUCCACCUGCUCCCCGGCUGCCCGCACCUUCCGGGCCUCCACGGCGAAUUUCUUUUUCCCCUUGGUCCUUCUCCUGGGUCUGGCCAUCUCCAGCGUUCCCCUGCUUUACAGCAUCUUCCUGAUCCCGCCUUCUAAGCUGUGUGGUCCAUUCCGGGGACAGCCGUCCAUCUGGGCCCAGAUCCCUGAGUCUAUUUCCAGGCUCCCUGAGACCACCCAGAACUUCCUCUUCUUCCUGGGGACCCAGGCUUUUGCUGUGCCCCUUCUGCUGAUCUCCAGCAUCCUAAUGGCGUACACUGUGGCUCUGGCUAACUCCUACGGACGCCUCAUCUCUGAGCUCAAACGUCAGAGAGAGACGGAGGCGCAGAAUAAAGUCUUCCUGGCACGGCGCGCUGUGGCGCUGACCUCCACCAAACCGGCUCUUUGACCCCCGCAGCCCACGUCCCACUUUCAGACCCCAGGCCCAUUGUCACAACAUCUGUAAACUAGGAGAACUAGAGAAGACUCCACGCCCUUCCAGCUUUGGUAUCUGGAGAUUUCCAGGGCCCCUCGCCGCCACGUCCUUGACUCUCGGGUGAUCUUCCUUGUAUCAAUAAAUACAGCCGAGGUUGCUGA